Molecule: ribosomal RNA, 667 nt
Filed under: uncultured bacterium
Lineage: Bacteria
Description: bacterial SSU rRNA
Rfam family: Bacterial small subunit ribosomal RNA
Source: RNAcentral
UUUGUAGCAUACAGAAAUAAUUCAGUGGCUGAACGGGUGUGUAACACGUGGGCAAUCUGCCGAAAAGUGGGGGAUAUGCUCGCCGAAUAGGCGAAUUAAUACCGCUAUGUGGUGAGGGACGACAUCUUCCUGAAUCCAAAGCCGGGGUAACCUGGUCGCUUUUUGAGUGAGCCCGCGGCCUAUCAGCUAGUUGGCGGGGUAAUCGGCCCACCAAGGCUAUGACGGGUAGCUGGUCUGAGAGGACGACCAGUCACACUGGAACUGAGACACGGUCCAGACACCAUACGGGUGGCAGCAGUCGAGAAUUUUUCUCAAUGGGGGAAACCCUGAAGGAGCGAAGCCGCGUGGAGGAUGAAGGCUUUCGGGUUGUAAACUCCUGUCAUUUGGGAACAAGUAGUACGUAGUAAACUGCACGUGCAUUCGAUCAGUACCAGAAGAGGAAGGGACGGCUAACUCUGUGCCAGCAGCCGCGGUAAUACAGAGGUACCCAAGCGUAGUUCGGAUUCAUUGGGCGUAAAGGGUGCGAUAAGUGGCGCCGUAAGUCGGGUGUGAAAUUUCGGAGCUUAAACUCCGAAACUGCAUUCGAUACUGAGGUGCUUGAGGACUGGAGAGGAGACUGGAAUUCAUGGAGUAGCAGUGAAAUGCGUAGAGAUCAUGAGGAAGAACA